RNAcentral lists this long non-coding RNA (250 nucleotides) under Gopherus agassizii (Agassiz's desert tortoise). RNAcentral describes it as "lncRNA (ENSGAGG00000013970.1)". Lineage: Eukaryota; Metazoa; Chordata; Testudines; Testudinidae. The record is from RNAcentral.
AUUUGAAGCCUUUGGUUUCUGUUUUUACUCUGCCAUCCAUUGGCCCUAGUGGGAGCUUUUGUUGUCAUGAUUUUGUUGUUGCUCUGUAAGUGUUUAGCACUGUGGUGGAUGGAUCUCUGACAUACAAAGAGUGAGAAGAGAAAUGAGACACACCUGGAAGAGAGACAGCCUGGCAGGUGGAAAUAUGGAGGUCCUUGUAUUGUGGGACUGCCAGACCUCCUGAGUCACAUGACUCACUGUCUGAUUUUCG